This 60-nucleotide transfer RNA is filed under the name Leucophytia bidentata (two-toothed white snail). Its description in RNAcentral is "Auriculinella bidentata (two-toothed white snail) tRNA-Val". The record is from RNAcentral. Lineage: Eukaryota; Metazoa; Mollusca; Gastropoda; Ellobiida; Ellobiidae.
AAGAGCGAAGUAUAUAGUACGUUUUAGUUACAUUAAAAAAGGCUCAUAAGAGCGCUCUUA